This 462-nucleotide ribosomal RNA is filed under the name uncultured bacterium. RNAcentral's name for it is "bacterial SSU rRNA". It matches the Rfam family "Bacterial small subunit ribosomal RNA", at positions 1 to 454 of the family's 1533-position model. The record is from RNAcentral.
AUUAGAGUUUGAUCAUGGCUCAGAAUCAACGCUGGCGGCGUGCCUCAGACAUGCAAGUCGAACGCGAAUCUCCCUUCGGGGAGAGAGUAGAGUGGCGCACGGGUGAGUAACACGUAGGUAAUUUGCCUUCGGGUGGGGAAUAACAGCCGGAAACGGCUGCUAAUACCGCAUAAUGCAGCGGCUCGACAUCGAGACAGUUGUUAAAGCGGGGGAUCGCAAGACCUCGCGCCUGAAGAGAAGCCUGCGGCGGAUUAGCUAGUUGGUAGGGUAAUGGCCUACCAAGGCGACGAUCCGUAACCGGCCUGAGAGGGCGGUCGGUCACACUGACACUGACAUACGGGUCAGACUCCUACGGGAGGCAGCAGUCGGGAAUUUUGGGCAAUGGGCGAAAGCCUGACCCAGCAACCCGCGUGAAGGAUGAAUCCCUCGGGAUGUAACUUCGCAAGAAUGGGAAGAAUAAGU